UACAGUCUUGUCAAAUUCAGUGUUUCCUUGACAAUGGACUGCCCUGACCAAAAUGGCUGCCACUGUGAACCUGUAGUCCAUGGGCCCUGGAUCUCUUUUCCAUGGAUUCUGGGAUAAUUGUGUACUACACCUUG
Molecule: small nucleolar RNA, 134 nt
Organism: Oncorhynchus tshawytscha (Chinook salmon)
Lineage: Eukaryota; Metazoa; Chordata; Actinopteri; Salmoniformes; Salmonidae
Source: Ensembl